RNAcentral lists this ribosomal RNA (322 nucleotides) under uncultured Chloroflexota bacterium. RNAcentral's name for it is "bacterial SSU rRNA". It matches the Rfam family "Bacterial small subunit ribosomal RNA", at positions 28 to 351 of the family's 1533-position model. The record is from RNAcentral. Lineage: Bacteria; Bacillati; Chloroflexota.
GAUGAACGCUGGCGGCGUGCCUAACACAUGCAAGUCGAACGGCAACCCUUGGAUUCGUCUGAGGGUGAGAGUGGCAAACGGGUGAGUAACACGUAGGUGACCUACCCCGAAGAGGGGAAUAACCGCUGGAAACGGUGGCUAAUACCCCAUGUGCUCGAUGGUUCAGUUCAUCGAGUAAAGCUCCGGCGCUUCGGGAUGGGCCUGCGGCCUAUCAGGUAGUUGGUAGGGUAACGGCCUACCAAGCCAAUGACGGGUAGGGGGCGUGAGAGCGUGAUCCCCCACACUGGCACUGCGACACGGGCCAGACUCCUACGGGUGGCAG